GAUGAACGCUGGCGGCGUGCCUAAUACAUGCAAGUCGAGCGAACAGACGAGGAGCUUGCUCCUCUGACGUUAGCGGCGGACGGGUGAGUAACACGUGGAUAACCUACCUAUAAGACUGGGAUAACUUCGGGAAACCGGAGCUAAUACCGGAUAAUAUAUUGAACCGCAUGGUUCAAUAGUGAAAGACGGUUUUGCUGUCACUUAUAGAUGGAUCCGCGCCGCAUUAGCUAGUUGGUAAGGUAACGGCUUACCAAGGCGACGAUGCGUAGCCGACCUGAGAGGGUGAUCGGCCACACUGGAACUGAGACACGGUCCAGACUCCUACGGGAGGCAGCAGUAGGGAAUCUUCCGCAAUGGGCGAAAGCUUGACGGAGCAACGCCGCGUGAGUGAUGAAGGUCUUCGGAUCGUAAAACUCUGUUAUUAUGGAAGAACAAAUGUGUAAGUAACUAUGCACGUCUUGACGGUACCUAAUCAGAAAGCCACGGCUAACUACGUG
RNAcentral lists this ribosomal RNA (497 nucleotides) under uncultured bacterium. RNAcentral's name for it is "partial 16S ribosomal RNA". It matches the Rfam family "Bacterial small subunit ribosomal RNA", at positions 28 to 507 of the family's 1533-position model. The record is from RNAcentral.